This 465-nucleotide ribosomal RNA is filed under the name uncultured bacterium. RNAcentral's name for it is "bacterial SSU rRNA". It matches the Rfam family "Bacterial small subunit ribosomal RNA", at positions 338 to 795 of the family's 1533-position model. The record is from RNAcentral.
CCUACGGGUCGCACCAGUGGGGAAUAUUGCACAAUGGGCGCAAGCCUGAUGCAGCCAUGCCGCGUGUAUGAAGAUGGCCUUAGGGUUGUAAAGUACUUUCAGUUGGGAGGAAGGCGUUGAUGCUAAUAUCAUCAACGAUUGACGUUACCAACAGAAGAAGCACCGGCUAACUCCGUGCCAGCAGCCGCGGUAAUACGGAGGGUGCAAGCGUUAAUCGGAAUUACUGGGCGUAAAGCGCACGCAGGCGGUCUGUCAAGUCGGAUGUGAAAUCCCCGGGCUCAACCUGGGAACUGCAUUCGAAACUGGCAGGCUAGAGUCUUGUAGAGGGGGGUAGAAUUCCAGGUGUAGCGGUGAAAUGCGUAGAGAUCUGGAGGAAUACCGGUGGCGAAGGCGGCCCCCUGGACAAAGACUGACGCUCAGGCGCGAAAGCGUGGGGAGCAAACAGGAUUAGAUACCCGGGUAGUC